GAUGAAGAACGCAGCGAAAUGCGAUAAGUAGUGUGAAUUGCAGAAUUCAGUGAAUCAUCGAAUCUUUUAACGCACAUUGCGCCCCUUGGUAUUCCAUGGGGCAUGCCUGUUCGAGCGUCAUUUGUACCUUCAAGCUUUGCUUGGUGUUGGGUGUUUGUCUCGCCUUUGCGUGUAGACUCGCCUUAAAAUAAUUGGCAGCCGGCGUAUUGAUUUCGGAGCGCAGUACAUCUCGCGCUUUGCACUCAUAACGACAGCGUCCAAAAGUACAUUUUACACUCUUGACCUCGGAUCAGGUAGGGAUACCCGCUGAACUUAAGCAUAUCAAUAAGCGGAGGA
This 336-nucleotide unclassified non-coding RNA is filed under the name soil metagenome. RNAcentral describes it as "partial contains 5.8S ribosomal RNA, internal transcribed spacer 2, and large subunit ribosomal RNA". The stretch from base 1 to 120 matches the Rfam family "5.8S ribosomal RNA", at positions 35 to 154 of the family's 154-position model. The record is from RNAcentral.